GUCGAACGAGAACGCGUCCUUCGGGGCGUUAUUAAAGUGGCGAACUGGUUAGUAACAGGUGGAUAACAUACCCUUUGGCGGGGGACAGCCUCUGGAAACAGGGAUUAAUACCGCAUAAAGCCGUGAAACCGUUGGGUUUUACGGACAAAGUCUUCGGACACCGAAGGAUUGGUCCGCCCCUGAUUAGCUUGUUGGUGUGGUAAAAGCGCACCAAGGCUACGAUCAGUAGCUGGUCUGAGAGGAUGGUCAGCAACACUGGGACUGAGAUACGGCCCAGACUCCUACGGGAGGCAGCAGUCUAGAAGCUUCCACAAUGGACGAAAGUCUGAUGGAGCGACACCGCGUGCGGGAUGACACUCGUGAGAGCGUAAACCGCUGUCAGCAGGGAAGAAUGCCCGGAUGGUGAAUCCGGGAGUGACGGUACCUGCAGAGGAAGCACCGGCUAACUAUGUGCCAGCAGCCGCGGUAAUACAUAGGGUGCAAACGUUGCUCGGAAUUACUGGGCGUAAAGAGUGCGUAGGCGGUUUGAUCAGUCCGGCGUGAAAUCCCAUGGCUCAACCAUGGAACUGCGCUGGAAACUGUCAGACUUGAGAGCGAGAGAGGCAAGUGGAAUUCCUGGUGUAGCGGUGGAAUGCGUAGAUAUCUGGAGGAACAUCAGUGGCGAAGGCGACUUACUGGACUAAUACUGACACUGAGGUGCGAAAGCGUGGGGAGCAAACGGGAUUAGAUACCCCGGUAGUCCACGCCGUAAACGAUGUCAACUAGUUGUUGGGCCUAUUAAAAGGUUUAGUGACGAAGCUAACGCGAUAAGUUGACCGCCUGGGGAGUACGGCCGCAAGGCUAAAACUCAAAUGAAUUGACGGGGGCCCGCACAAGCGGUGGAGCAUGUGGUUUAAUUCGAUGCAACGCGAAGAACCUUACCUACUCUUGACAUCCCGUGAACUUUCCAGAGAUGGAUUGGUGCCUUCGGGAACGCAGUGACAGGUGCUGCAUGGCUGUCGUCAGCUCGUGUCGUGAGAUGUUGGGUUAAGUCCCGUAACGAGCGCAACCCUUGUCCUUAGUUGCCAGCACGUAAUGGUGGGAACUCUAAGGAGACUGCCGGUGACAAACCGGAGGAAGGUGGGGACGACGUCAAGUCAUCAUGGCCCUUACGACCUGGGCUACACACGUGCUACAAUGGUCGGUACAGAGGGUUGCCAAGCCGCGAGGUGGAGCUAAUCCCAGAAAACCGAUCGUAGUCCGGAUUGGAGUCUGCAACUCGACUCCAUGAAGUCGGAAUCGCUAGUAAUCGCGAAUCAGAAUGUCGCGGUGAAUACGUUCCCGGGCCUUGUACACACCGCCCGUCACACCAUGGGAGUGGGUUGCAAAAGAAGUGGGUAGACUAACCUUCGGGAGGUCGCUCACCACUU
This 1409-nucleotide ribosomal RNA is filed under the name uncultured prokaryote. RNAcentral describes it as "partial 16S ribosomal RNA". It matches the Rfam family "Bacterial small subunit ribosomal RNA". The record is from RNAcentral.